AGGAAGUAAAAGUCGUAACAAGGUCUCCGUAGGUGAACCUGCGGAGGGAUCAUUACAAGUGACCCCGGUCUUACCACCGGGAUGUUCAUAACCCUUUGUUGUCCGACUCUGUUGCCUCCGGGGCGACCCUGCCUUCGGGCGGGGGCUCCGGGUGGACACUUCAAACUCUUGCGUAACUUUGCAGUCUGAGUAAACUUAAUUAAUAAAUUAAAACUUUUAACAAAGGAUCUCUUGGUUCUGGCAUCGAUGAAGAACGCAGCGAAAUGCGAUAAGUAAUGUGAAUUGCAGAAUUCAGUGAAUCAUCGAAUCUUUGAACGCACAUUGCGCCCCCUGGUAUUCCGGGGGGCAUGCCUGUUCGAGCGUCAUUUCACCACUCAAGCCUCGCUUGGUAUUGGGCAACGCGGUCCGCCGCGUGCCUCAAAUCGACCGGCUGGGUCUUCUGUCCCCUAAGCGUUGUGGAAACUAUUCGCUAAAGGGUGUUCGGGAGGCUACG
Molecule: unclassified non-coding RNA, 493 nt
Filed under: Cladosporium sp. MK1-2020
Lineage: Eukaryota; Fungi; Ascomycota; Dothideomycetes; Cladosporiales; Cladosporiaceae
Description: sequence contains 18S rRNA gene, ITS1, 5.8S rRNA gene, ITS2, 28S rRNA gene
Rfam family: 5.8S ribosomal RNA (bases 212-365)
Source: RNAcentral